CCUACGGGUGGCUGCAGUGAGGAAUAUUGGUCAAUGGACGAGAGUCUGAUCCAGCCAAGUAGCGUGAAGGAUGACUGCCCUAUGGGUUGUAAACUCUUUUUAUAAAGGAAUAAAACGUGGCACGUGUGCCUUUGCGCAUGUACUUUAUGAAUAAGAAUCGGCUAACCCCGCUCCAGCAGCCGCGGUAAUACGGAGGAUCCGAGCGUUAUCCGGAUUUAUUGGGUUUAAAGGGAGCGUAGAUGGGUUGUUAAGUCAGUUGUGAAAGUUUGCGGCUCAACCGUAAAAUUGCAAUUGAUACUGGCAGUCUUGAGUACAGUAGAGGUAAGCAGAAUUCGUGGUGUAGCGGUGAAAUGCUUAGAUAUCACGAAGAACACCGAUUGCGAAGGCAGCUUACUAAACUGAGACUGACAUUGAUGUGCGAAAGUGUGGGGAGCAAACAGGAUUAGAUACCCUUGUAGUC
This 460-nucleotide ribosomal RNA is filed under the name uncultured bacterium. RNAcentral describes it as "partial 16S ribosomal RNA". It matches the Rfam family "Bacterial small subunit ribosomal RNA", at positions 338 to 795 of the family's 1533-position model. The record is from RNAcentral.